UACCGUCGGGAGCUUGCUCCCUUUGCGAAAGUGACGUUAAUACCUGAUUAUAUCGCUGAAUGGCAUCAUUUGGCGAUCAAAGGUGGGGAUCUUCGGACCUGCCGGAUUGAGAUCGACCUAUUCCCUAUCAGCUUGUUGGUGAGGUAAUGGCUUACCAAGGCUACGACGGGUAGCGGGACUGAGAGGUUGGCCCGCCACAUCGGAACUGAGACACUGUCCGGACACCUACGGGUGGCUGCAGUAACGAAUAUUCCGCAAUGGGCGAAAGCCUGACGGAGCAAUGCCGCGUGGAGGACGAAUUCCCUCGGGAUGUAAACUCCUUUUAGGUUGAUGAAAGCGAAGAUAGUUAAUAGCUAUCUAAGUUGAUCUAGGCCAGAAAAAGCCUCGGCUAACUCCGUGCCAGCAGCCGCGGUAAUACGGAGGAGGCAAGCGUUGUUCGGAAUUAUUGGGCUUAAAGCGCGUGUAGGCGGCUUGGUAAGUACUUUGUGAAAUACCUCGGCUCAACCGAGGACUUGCUUGGUAUACUGCUGAGCUUGAGGCAGGUAGAGGUGCUUGGAACUCUAGGUGGAGCGGUGAAAUGCGUUGAUAUCUAGAGGAAUGCCGGUGGCGAAAGCGGGGCACUGGGCCUGACCUGACGCUGAGACGCGAAAGCAUGGGUAGCGAACGGGAUUAGAUACCCCGGUAGUCCAUGCCGUAAACGAUGCGCACUAGAUUCAUGUACCUCUGACGGUUUGUGAAUCGAAGCAAAAGUGAUAAGUGCGCCGCCUGGGGAGUACGGCCGCAAGGCUAAAACUCAAAGGAAUUGACGGGGGCUCACACAAGCGGUGGAGGAUGUGGCUUAAUUCGAGGCAACGCGAAGAACCUUACCUGGGUUUGACAUACUAGAAUUAGCUCUGUGAAAGCAGAGUGACGCGGCUUGCCGUGGAACUAGAACAGGUGCUGCAUGGCUGUCGUCAGCUCGUGUCGUGAGGUGUCAGGUUAAGUCCUUCAACGAGCGAAACCCUUGUCGUUAGUUGCUAACAGAUAAUGCUGAGCACUUUAGCGAGACUGCCGGUGUUAAACCGGAGGAAGGUGGGGAUGACGUCAAGUCCUCAUGGCCUUUAUGCCCAGGGCUGCACACGUCCUACAAUGGGUUGGUACAGAGCGAAGCAAGACCGCGAGGUGGAGCAAAUCGCUAAAAACUGCCCUCAGUUCGGAUUGUAGUCUGAAAUUCGACUACAUGAAGUUGGAAUCGCUAGUAAUCGCGUAUCGGCUACGACGCGGUGAAUAUGUUC
This 1274-nucleotide ribosomal RNA is filed under the name uncultured bacterium. Its description in RNAcentral is "bacterial SSU rRNA". It matches the Rfam family "Bacterial small subunit ribosomal RNA", at positions 127 to 1373 of the family's 1533-position model. The record is from RNAcentral.